CAGCCGCCACGGGAAUACGAAGGGUGCAAGCGUUACUCGGAAUUACUGGGCGUAAAGCGUGCGUAGGUGGUGGUUUAAGUCCGUUGUGAAAGCCCUGGGCUCAACCUGGGAAUUGCAGUGGAUACUGGAUCACUAGAGUGUGGUAGAGGAUAGUGGAAUUCCCGGUGUAGCGGUGAAAUGCGUAGAGAUCGGGAGGAACAUCAGUGGCGAAGGCGGCCAUCUGGGACAACACUGACGCUGAGGCACGAAAGCGUGGGGAGCAAACAGGAUUAGAUACCCCCGUAGUCCCUGUCUCUUAUAC
RNAcentral lists this ribosomal RNA (301 nucleotides) under uncultured bacterium. RNAcentral describes it as "partial 16S ribosomal RNA". It matches the Rfam family "Bacterial small subunit ribosomal RNA", at positions 509 to 807 of the family's 1533-position model. The record is from RNAcentral.